Molecule: ribosomal RNA, 519 nt
Filed under: uncultured bacterium
Lineage: Bacteria
Description: bacterial SSU rRNA
Rfam family: Bacterial small subunit ribosomal RNA
Source: RNAcentral
GGACGAACGCUGGCGGCGUGCCUAAUACAUGCAAGUCGAACGGUCUUUCUAUGGAAGCUUGCUUCCACUGAGAAGAUAGUGGCGAACGGGUGAGUAACACGUGGGUAACCUGCCCAUAAGAGGGGGAUAACAUCCGGAAACGGGUGCUAAUACCGCAUAGUUUUCUUGAUCGCAUGAUUGAGAAAGGAAAGACGGCCUUUGUGCUGUCGCUUAUGGAUGGACCCGCGGCGUAUUAGUUAGUUGGUGAGGUAACGGCUCACCAAGACGAUGAUACGUAGCCGACCUGAGAGGGUGAUCGGCCACAUUGGGACUGAGACACGGCCCAAACUCCUACGGGAGGCAGCAGUAGGGAAUCUUCCGCAAUGGACGAAAGUCUGACGGGGGCAACGCCGCGUGAGUGAAGAAAGGUUUUCGGAUCGUAAAACUCUGUUGUCAGAGAAGAACAAGUUGGAGAGUAACUGCUCCAGCCUUGACGGUAUCUGACCAGAAAGCCACGGCUAACUACGUGCCAGCCGCCGC